Molecule: long non-coding RNA, 3039 nt
Organism: Coregonus clupeaformis (lake whitefish)
Lineage: Eukaryota; Metazoa; Chordata; Actinopteri; Salmoniformes; Salmonidae
Exons: 3
Source: RefSeq, a predicted model, not a curated record
GAUGUGACUAAACCACAGAUUGAAUACACUGAAAAUGCAUGUUACAUAAAGACAACAUUUCAAAUGCAUAGUGACAAAACUAGCUAGAAGAACUUGGUGUGUGCAAAUCCCCUUUUUAGUACACACACAAUGUAUCUGUGACAAGGGGAACUUGAAUAUACAAUUAAUCUGUGACAAGGGAACUGCAAUAGCAGACAUGUGAAUCAUAUCCACCAUUUCACAGUGCCAUAUAAUAGGCUAAAAGAGCUUGGAUGAUGCCAUGGAGUCUCGACUGAUGAGCAGUGUUGCCUGUAAUAGGCUAUCCAUUACUCAAAUUACUAUCUGUCUCUUUCGAAAUGCGGCUCCGACUCAACGAGUCAUUCACAGCCACCCAAAUGAAAUCAUGGGCAAACGUCAUGAAAGUGACGUCACGCUUCCAUUAGAUUCUUCUAAUGCCGCGUUCAAAACAACUGGGAACGCGGAAAUAUCCGACUUCCGAGCGUUCAAGACAACUGGGAACUCGAAAAAAAACGACCUUCGACUGGGAAGAAUCGUUUUGAAUCGUCAUCCAACUCGGGAACUCGGGCAUCUUUCUAGAGUACCGACUUUCUGACGAUCAAAGUUCAUGAGUUGACCUCGUUUUUCCGAGUUCUCCGUUGUUUUGAAAGCGCCAAAUAACGCAAGAAGUUCAGGUUUCUGCCAUCUGUGACCGAAAAGCGCUUCUGGACAUCAAAACAGCUAUCACUAACCUCGAUUUGGACAAGGACUUCAACUUCAAUGAGUCGGAGCUCCUUCCCCUCGGUCGCCACAGCAUCGGACUCCCUGUCACCCAUGAAGCUGGGUCGCAAACCAGGAAGGAAAGGGAAGCAAACACUUUGUCCACAUAGCUGAGUGGGUAAGGACGGAUACAUGAGAAAUGUCCUGGAACUGAAGGAGUUCAUCCAGUGUACAACUUUAAUAAAGACUAGUCAGCUUGGUUGUACAGUAUUAAUUCCCAGUUGAGAAUUAAAGAUUGAUUGAUGGAAGGGAUUUGAUAUCCACUAGAUGCCAAUUAAUGCACUGAUAUGAAUAGGUUAUGAUAUACUUCAGAGAAUACAAUUGCUAAAAUAUAGCCGUACUGUUACUGUAGUUCCCAUAUACAAGAAUUAACUUAUAAAGUCUCACAAAGGAAGUACAAAGGGGAAAGUGCAUGUCCACUUUUUGCAUACCGCCUCCUCUCCUCCCCCCAACCCCAUUCUUCGUAUUACUUCAGGCUUAUAUCACCGUCAUUCCUUAUACAAUAAUUAACUCCCCUUGCCCAGAUGACUGCUACGGUAGUGGCAGCCAUUUCAGUACACACAGGCUUGGGAAUGGAACUCUGAUGAAACACUCUGUAAUGCGGCAUGUCAAUUCAAUAGAGGGUCCUACACCAGGGUCAAAAAUAAUCUUCCUCUACCAUCGGCACUCUCUGUUUGAUUCAAAUUGCAGGCCUUGUUCGCUUUUGACAGUUGAAUAAAAGUAUUUUAUUUUCUUGUUGGAAACUCCGACUGGGGAGAGUUAGUAAAGCGCCACAUGAUGUAACUCCAACAUAAUCACAUACACUUAAUGAAACGACAGAGGAGUGUUUUGUGAACUGUGGAGAAGUAGGAUUCUGAAAGGUGGGUUGAAGCCUGUGAUAAUUUGCACCUUUCUUUUUCCUGAUAAAUGAAGUAGAAGUUUUAGCAAUAGGAGGUAGAGGUCAAUUAUGUGGAACAUCCAUCCCUAUUAUGAGGAAACAUCCUGUUAUGAGGAAAAACUCACCAACCUGCUGUUACCUCACAACAUAAUUUCACUGAACUUCUGUGUUUAAACAAAGAGGCAGGGUGUAACUGUGUUAAUGUCACUGACAUGGUAUUCACUUUAUCUCCCGGAUGGCCUUCUUCUUUGUUCCAGCCUCCUUGUGUAGAACACUUCCAGACGAGUAACAACAGAGUAGGAUCAGAUGGGUUUGGGUGUCCUCAAGGGACCUGCUCAGACCACUGUCAUGUGAUGCGUUCUUGUAACUCAGUGUGACUUUCCUGAAAUGUCUGUGAGAUCAGGAUGGUUGUACGAGGCUAGAGGAUGAUGGUGAUGAUGAGUAUUUAUCACACCAGACACAUUCAGAUUGUCCAUACAGAUGCACCACAAGCCAGCACAGACAGUGAAACCUGUAUAUUAUUAACUACAGUAACAUGCCUCGGGCUAGUCUGGUAGUGCAGCAACCUCUCAACGAUUAGUUUUGGGAAGAGAGGGAGGAGGGCCCCAUUUAAAUAUUGAAUUGCUGGUUGCAUGUGUUGAUAGUUACUAUGGUGACUUAUUUGCUCUGGCUUUUGUUUUUGCUCCCGGUGUGUCGACACAGUUCCUGUUGACGGUGAGGGAGAGGUUGAGCAAUCCCCCAGGCAGUUGCGUAAGCUGCCCCCCUUCACUUUCAGGUGCAAGCGAGUGAGUCUGUCUGUGUGGCUGAAAGUCAACCCUCUUUUAGGAAUGUGAUACGUGUCAGAGGAGCGGGACUGAGGUAAUGCCAUGGAAAUACUGCUCCAGCCCCACUGGCUGCACAGACAGGCAGACACACAGACAGGCAGACACACAGACAGGCAGACACACAGACAGGCAGACACACAGACAGGCAGCACAGCACAGGGGAGGUUGCGCAAGACCCAACGCCUGCUGUACAGUGGCAGGCAGGCUCACAUAGGGGAGAGACGUAGACAGAGAGAGGGAGAAAGGUAGACAGAGAGGUAGAGUCUUACCAAACUUGAUGCAUAUAAAUCAAACAGGGUUUAUUAAAAAUACACACAAACAAAUACAAGAACAUGUUUCAGUAUAAUACAAUACGCAAAAAAUCAAGAUAUAGAUUUAUCAAUAAUGGCUAUUAAUGCCGAAAAGGCUUUCGACCGUCUUGAAUGGCCUUUUCUAUUCAAAACUUUGGAAGCUUUCAACUUUCCAGCUAAAAUCAUGCAUUUAAUAAAGCUGUUGUAUAAAUGUCCUAAAGUAAAAAUAUACACAGAUAAUACAUUAUUUGAUGAAAUUGCUUUAGAAAGGGGCACAAGACAGGGAUGUCCC